UACGGAGGGGGCUAGCGUUGUUCGGAAUUACUGGGCGUAAAGCGCACGUAGGCGGCUUUGUAAGUUAGAGGUGAAAGCCCGGGGCUCAACUCCGGAAUUGCCUUUAAGACUGCAUCGCUAGAAUUGUGGAGAGGUAAGUGGAAUUCCGAGUGUAGAGGUGAAAUGCGCAGAUAUCGGGAAGAACACCCGUGGCGAAGGCGGCUCUCUGGGACGGUACUGACGCUGAGACGCGAAAGCGUGGGGAGCAAACAGGG
This 254-nucleotide ribosomal RNA is filed under the name uncultured bacterium. RNAcentral's name for it is "partial 16S ribosomal RNA". It matches the Rfam family "Bacterial small subunit ribosomal RNA", at positions 524 to 777 of the family's 1533-position model. The record is from RNAcentral.